Molecule: transfer RNA, 144 nt
Filed under: Friedmanniomyces endolithicus
Lineage: Eukaryota; Fungi; Ascomycota; Dothideomycetes; Mycosphaerellales; Teratosphaeriaceae
Description: tRNA-Asp
Rfam family: tRNA
About the family: Transfer RNA (tRNA) molecules are approximately 80 nucleotides in length. Their secondary structure includes four short double-helical elements and three loops (D, anti-codon, and T loops). Further hydrogen bonds mediate the characteristic L-shaped molecular structure. tRNAs have two regions of fundamental functional importance: the anti-codon, which is responsible for specific mRNA codon recognition, and the 3' end, to which the tRNAs corresponding amino acid is attached (by aminoacyl-tRNA synthetases). tRNAs cope with the degeneracy of the genetic code in two manners: having more than one tRNA (with a specific anti-codon) for a particular amino acid; and 'wobble' base-pairing, i.e. permitting non-standard base-pairing at the 3rd anti-codon position.
Source: RNAcentral
UCCUCAUUGGUCUAGUGGUCAUGAUUUCCGCUUGUCAUCUCGAGGGAGGUAAAUCUACUCCCCUCAAGCUCAGCUUGGGAUGUGUCAGCUUGGGACGUGUCAGCUAACGGACUGCAGACCUGGGUUCGAUUCCCAGAUGGGGAG